RNAcentral lists this ribosomal RNA (1477 nucleotides) under uncultured Bordetella sp. RNAcentral's name for it is "partial 16S-23S ribosomal RNA intergenic spacer". It matches the Rfam family "Bacterial small subunit ribosomal RNA". Lineage: Bacteria; Pseudomonadati; Pseudomonadota; Betaproteobacteria; Burkholderiales; Alcaligenaceae. The record is from RNAcentral.
GGUUCGAUCCUGGCUCAGAUUGAACGCUGGCGGGAUGCUUUACACAUGCAAGUCGAACGUAGCUGCGGACUUCGGUCUGGUGGCGAGUGGCGAACGGGUGGUAUGUAUCCGGAACGUGCCUAAUGGCGGGGAUAACCGCGAAAGCGUAGCUAAUACCGCAUACGCCCUUCGGGGAAAGCGGGGGACCUUCGGGCCUCACUAUUAGAGCGGCCGAUAUCGGAUUAGCUAGUUGGUGGGGUAACGGCUCACCAAGGCGACGAUCCGCUAGCUGGUUUUGAGAGGACGACCAGCCACACUGGGACUGAGACACGGCCCAGACUCCUACGGGAGGCAGCAGUGGGAAUUUUUGGACAAUGGGGGAAACCUGAUCCAGCCAUCCCGCGUGUGCGAUGAAGGCCUUCGGGUUGUAAAGCACUUUUUUGGCAGGGAAAGAAACGGCACGGGAUAAUACCCCGUGCAACUGACGGUACCUGCAAGAACCAGCACCGGCUAACUGCGUGCCAGCAGCCGCGGUAAUACGUGGUGCAAGCGUUAAUCAACCUUACUGGGCGUAAAGCGUGCGCAGGCGGUUCGGAAAGAAAGAUGUAAGGAAAUCCCAGAGCUUAACUUUUGGAACUGCAUUUUUAACUACCGAGCUAGAGUGUGUCAGAGAGUGGAAUUCCGCGUGUAGCAGUGAAAGUACGUAGAUAUGCGGAGGAACACCGAUGGCGAAAACAGCCUCCUGGGAUAACACUGACGCUCAUGCGAAAAGCGUGGGGAGCGAAGCAGGAUUAGAUACCCUGGUAGUCCACGCCCUAAACGAUGUCAACUAGCUGUUGGGGGCCUUCGGGCCUUGGUAGCGCAGCUAACGCGUGAGGAGUGACCGCCUGGGGAGUACGGUCGCAAGAUUAAAACUCAAAGGAAUUGACGGGGACCCGCACAAGCGGUGGAUGAUGUGGAUUAAUUCGAUGCAACGCGAAAAACCUUACCUACCCAGCCGACAUGUACGCAGGUCCCGAAGAGAUUUGGGAGUGCUCGCAAGAGAACCGGAACACAGGUGCUGCAUGGCUGUCGUCAGCUCGUGUCGUGAGAUGUUGGGUUAAGUCCCGCAACGAGCGCAACCCUUGUCAUUAGUUGCUACGAAAGGGCACUCUAAUGGGAACUGCCGGUGACAAACCGGAGGAAGGUGGGGAUGACGUCAAGUCCUCAUGGCCCUUAUGGGUAGGGCUUCACACGUCAUACAAUGGUCGGGACAGAGGGUCGCCAACCCGCGAGGAGCCAAUCAGAAACCCGAUCGUAGUCCGGAUCGCAGUCUGCAACUCGACUGCGUGAAGUCCGGAAUCGCUAGUAAUCGCGGAUCAGCAUGUCGCGGUGAAUUACGUUCGGGUCUUGUACACACCGCCCGUCACACCAUGGGAAUUGGGUUUUUACCAAGUAGUUAACAAGGAGGGCGAUUACCACGGUAGGAUUCAUGACUGGGGUGAAGUCGUAACAAGGU